AAAUACAAAACAACCAUUCCUGUAUGCAUAAUUUGGUCAAUCACUAAAGACCACAUGGUAGUUCACCCAGAUAAGAAAAAAAAAAGGUAUCCAGAGAUAGUAAACAAUAUUGAAUUUGGGAUAACUGGACGAAGAAGACAUCCUCAGAGAAUUAAGUUACUGAAAGUGGUAUCAACAAUACAAUCACAUUAAGCUAGAAAUUGAUGAAUCAACUCGUCAAUCACAUAAAGUGAAGCCAAACAAUCUAAUCCCCUGGUAAAAUUGUUAAGCCACCCACCUUUCUAAGAUCACUACUCUUGUCAUGCUUUAUCCAAAUCUUUCAUGACAAUUUCUCGCUACCUCUAAAGAUAAACAAGUUUCUCUAGUACCAAUCAUGCUAGAAUAAGGACACCAACUUGCAAUAUUGAUGGAAAUAACAUAACCUAGCCAACAGCCAAUCAGCCACCAAUCCAAAUUCUUUUGUCUUCUCAUAACCAGAAUCAGUUUCAAAAAGUUUCGAAGAUUAUUUCAACAACAAAGAAAAAACAAGUAGAAAACAAUGUAGUGUUUGUUCGUGCAUGGCUUAUGGUCUAUGAGAGGAGAGCUUUUCUAGUUCAGCAUAUAUAUAUAUAUAUAUAUAUAUAUAUAUAUAUAUCAAAUAUUAGUGGCUACCAGGGGAUCAAUGCACGGACUUAACAAUGUUAGAGAGGCUAACAAAAAUUGGUAUAACUCUCACCCUUCCAAAUUUUCAAAGUAGGUGACUCAGAAUGCUUCUUUAACUUUACGAAACAUGAUUCAUGUUUCGUAAAGUAGGUGACUCCGAAUGUGAAAUAAUAUUUGUUUAGUGCUUACUCAUAACUAUGUCCAAGAUAUGUCAAGGAGAUGUGCAUCUCACUUGUUAGUAUAAUAAGAUCGUGGAAUGUAGAAAGAGUGGCCUCAUGUUCUCUUCGCCUCUAAAACUUAUGUCAUGGCUUCCAGGACUUCCUGGUGCAUGCAAUGAUGUGAUAGGCGUACAUGACCUGACAGGCUGCCAGGUAAAAACGAGUAAAAAACACAUCUCUGCCAUGUGCAAUUCCGUCAAGCCACUCAUUUUCUUUGACCAUUUCCUGGAACCUAAGGUGAGUCUUUAAAGUCACAUCUCUACCGGCAAAGAGAAUCUGGGACUACCAUGAGUCCAUGACACUGUCAAGUGUCAACCAUCUCAGAGACUCAUACUAACAAGAUGUGAGAUAUCACGCCCCACUGACAUAAAACAUAUAAAACCAUGAAUAAGUUCACUCAAUGUCAAAGAAAGGUCACAUCUUCAUGCAUAGUCCUGAAGAAAUGACCCAUGCAUGCUUGUAAGGCCCCUAAACUAUUCACUCCAGACCACAUUAAUCCAUGUAUGUUUAAUUCUUUACCUAUCUCAUUCAAAUACAUUUCUUCCUAUGAUCCUUGUACUAUACUGUAUUGGUGAAACAUCUUCUCAUAACCAGCUAACCUUGUACUUGGAUUGCGAUUUUAACUUCACAUCUUUCACAACCAACUCAUCACACUCAAAGUAGAAGGUUAGCUGGUUAUAACAAGAUGUAUGGCAAUUUGAUUAUUAAAAACCCUAAUUUUUUCCAAAUCCCAUAACUUU
This 1600-nucleotide long non-coding RNA is filed under the name Aquilegia coerulea. RNAcentral describes it as "long non-coding RNA (ACOE_LNC000606)". The record is from RNAcentral. Lineage: Eukaryota; Viridiplantae; Streptophyta; Magnoliopsida; Ranunculales; Ranunculaceae.